GCAUCGAUAGCUUAGUGGCAGAGCGUUGGGGCUGCUGGGGAGCUGACCUAUGCGGCCCGGGUGCGAGCCCCGGUCGAUGCA
Phthorimaea operculella (potato tuberworm) is the source of this 81-nucleotide non-coding RNA. The record is from the annotation of a GenBank genome assembly. NCBI's taxonomy places the organism in Eukaryota, Metazoa, Arthropoda, Insecta, Lepidoptera, Gelechiidae.